GUUCUCGUUCUCUCUCCAUCCCCUGUGACAUACCACUUGUUGCCUCGGCGGAUCAGCCCGCUCCCGGUAAAACGGGACGGCCCGCCAGAGGACCCCUAAACUCUGUUUCUAUAUGUGAGGGAUCAUUAGCGCGUUUACAACUCCGGAACCCCUGUGAACAUACCUUAUGUUGCCUCGGGCAUCGAUGAAGAACGCAGCAAAAUGCGAUAAGUAAUGUGAAUUGCAGAAUUCAGUGAAUCAUCGAAUCUUUGAACGCACAUUGCGCCCGCCAGUAUUCUGGCGGGCAUGCCUGUUCGAGCGUCAUUUCAACCCUCAAGCACAGCUUGGUGUUGGGACUCGCGUUAAUUCGCGUUCCUCAAAUUGAUUGGCGGUCACGUCGAGCUUCCAUAGCGUAGUAGUAAAACCCUCGUUACUGGUAAUCGUCGCGGCCACGCCGUUAAACCCCAACUUCUGAAUGUUGACCUCGGAUCAGGUAGGAAUACCCGCUGAACUUAAGCAUAUCAAUAAGGCGGAGGAAUUGCAUAGAUCAGGUAAGAAAUUCCGCUGAACUUAACCUCCCCUUCAGCGGAGAAAGAAAAACACACCAAAACCCCCCAAG
Molecule: ribosomal RNA, 598 nt
Filed under: uncultured Fusarium
Lineage: Eukaryota; Fungi; Ascomycota; Sordariomycetes; Hypocreales; Nectriaceae
Description: eukaryotic LSU rRNA
Rfam family: 5.8S ribosomal RNA (bases 161-303)
Source: RNAcentral